This 740-nucleotide ribosomal RNA is filed under the name Kribbella pittospori. Its description in RNAcentral is "bacterial SSU rRNA". It matches the Rfam family "Bacterial small subunit ribosomal RNA", at positions 75 to 830 of the family's 1533-position model. The record is from RNAcentral. Lineage: Bacteria; Bacillati; Actinomycetota; Actinomycetes; Propionibacteriales; Kribbellaceae.
CCCCUUCGGGGGUACACGAGCGGCGAACGGGUGAGUAACACGUGAGCAACCUACCCUCAACUUCGGGAUAAGCCUCGGAAACGGGGUCUAAUACCGGAUAUCACUUCCUGCUUCAUGGUGGGGGGUUGAAAGUUCUGGCGGUUGGGGAUGGGCUCGCGGCCUAUCAGCUUGUUGGUGGGGUAAUGGCCUACCAAGGCGUCGACGGGUAGCCGGCCUGAGAGGGCGACCGGCCACACUGGGACUGAGACACGGCCCAGACUCCUACGGGAGGCAGCAGUGGGGAAUAUUGCGCAAUGGACGAAAGUCUGACGCAGCAACGCCGCGUGAGGGAUGACGGCCUUCGGGUUGUAAACCUCUUUCAGCAGGGACGAAGCGAGAGUGACGGUACCUGCAGAAGAAGGACCGGCCAACUACGUGCCAGCAGCCGCGGUAAUACGUAGGGUCCGAGCGUUGUCCGGAAUUAUUGGGCGUAAAGGGCUCGUAGGCGGUUCGUCACGUCGGGAGUGAAAACUCGGAGCUUAACUCCGAGCCUGCUUCCGAUACGGGCAGACUAGAGGUAGGCAGGGGAGAGCGGAACUCCUGGUGUAGCGGUGGAAUGCGCAGAUAUCAGGAAGAACACCGGUGGCGAAGGCGGCUCUCUGGGCCUUACCUGACGCUGAGGAGCGAAAGCGUGGGUAGCGAACAGGAUUAGAUACUCUGGUAGUCCACGCCGUAAACGUUGGGCGCUAGGUGUGGGGGAC